GGGUCAGUAGGUUGGUCGUGCCACCGGUACGUACUGGUCUCACUGAUUCCUCCUUCCUGAAGAACCGUAAUGCCAUUAAUUUGGUGUUGCGGGGAAACAAGACUGUUACUUUGAAAAAAUCAGAGUGUUUAAAGCAAGCUAACGCUUGAAUACAUUAGCAUGGAAUAAUGAAAUAGGACGAUCGAUCCUAUUUUGUUGGUUUCUAGGAUUGACGUA
This 216-nucleotide ribosomal RNA is filed under the name Glomeromycotina sp. Its description in RNAcentral is "partial small subunit ribosomal RNA". The stretch from base 40 to 216 matches the Rfam family "Eukaryotic small subunit ribosomal RNA", at positions 686 to 864 of the family's 1831-position model. Lineage: Eukaryota; Fungi; Glomeromycota. The record is from RNAcentral.